GAUCUGGCAGCAGUGGGGAAUAUUGCACAAUGGGCGAAAGCCUGAUGCAGCAACGCCGCGUGAGGGACGAAGGCCUUCGGGUUGUAAACCUCUUUUAGCAGGGAAGAAGCGAAAGUGACGGUACCUGCAGAAAAAGCACCGGCUAACUACGUGCCAGCAGCCGCGGUAAUACGUAGGGUGCAAGCGUUGUCCGGAAUUAUUGGGCGUAAAGAGCUCGUAGGCGGUUUGUCACGUCUGCUGUGAAAUUUCGAGGCUCAACCUCGAACUUGCAGUGGGUACGGGCAGGCUAGAGUGCGGUAGGGGAGAUGGGAAUUCCUGGUGUAGCGGUGGAAUGCGCAGAUAUCAGGAGGAACACCAGUGGCGAAAGCGGCA
RNAcentral lists this ribosomal RNA (372 nucleotides) under uncultured Actinobacteridae bacterium. RNAcentral's name for it is "bacterial SSU rRNA". It matches the Rfam family "Bacterial small subunit ribosomal RNA", at positions 342 to 726 of the family's 1533-position model. The record is from RNAcentral. Lineage: Bacteria; Bacillati; Actinomycetota; Actinomycetes.